RNAcentral lists this ribosomal RNA (496 nucleotides) under uncultured bacterium. Its description in RNAcentral is "partial 16S ribosomal RNA". It matches the Rfam family "Bacterial small subunit ribosomal RNA", at positions 28 to 506 of the family's 1533-position model. The record is from RNAcentral.
GACGAACGCUGGCGGCGUGCCUAAUACAUGCAAGUUGAGCGCUGAAGGUUGGUACUUGUACCAACUGGAUGAGCAGCGAACGGGUGAGUAACGCGUGGGGAAUCUGCCUUUGAGCGGGGGACAACAUUUGGAAACGAAUGCUAAUACCGCAUAAAAACUUUAAACACAAGUUUUAAGUUUGAAAGAUGCAAUUGCAUCACUCAAAGAUGAUCCCGCGUUGUAUUAGCUAGUUGGUGAGGUAAAGGCUCACCAAGGCGAUGAUACAUAACCGACCUGAGAGGGUGAUCGGCCACAUUGGGACUGAGACACGGCCCAAACUCCUACGGGAGGCAGCAGUAGGGAAUCUUCGGCAAUGGACGAAAGUCUGACCGAGCAACGCCGCGUGAGUGAAGAAGGUUUUCGGAUCGUAAAACUCUGUUGGUAGAGAAGAACGUUGGUGAGAGUGGAAAGCUCAUCAAGUGACGGUAACUACCCAGAAAGGGACGGCUAACUACGU